This 71-nucleotide transfer RNA is filed under the name Loxodonta africana (African savanna elephant). It matches the Rfam family "tRNA". From Rfam's summary of the family: Transfer RNA (tRNA) molecules are approximately 80 nucleotides in length. Their secondary structure includes four short double-helical elements and three loops (D, anti-codon, and T loops). Further hydrogen bonds mediate the characteristic L-shaped molecular structure. tRNAs have two regions of fundamental functional importance: the anti-codon, which is responsible for specific mRNA codon recognition, and the 3' end, to which the tRNAs corresponding amino acid is attached (by aminoacyl-tRNA synthetases). tRNAs cope with the degeneracy of the genetic code in two manners: having more than one tRNA (with a specific anti-codon) for a particular amino acid; and 'wobble' base-pairing, i.e. permitting non-standard base-pairing at the 3rd anti-codon position. Lineage: Eukaryota; Metazoa; Chordata; Mammalia; Proboscidea; Elephantidae. The record is from Rfam by way of RNAcentral.
GCAGUGGUUGUUCAGUGGUAGAAUUCUUGCCUUCCAUGCAGAAGUUGUGGGUUUGACUUCCAGCCGAUGUA